AUGGAGGGGAUGCAGCAGAGCAUCGAUUUCGUCUUGCCCAAAUUAUGCUUGAACUGCUUCCAUGAAUGUGAGCCAAUCACCCAGACCAUGUGUAUGCUUGUACGCCUGACACCAAAGUGCUGCAUGACCAUCCAUGUAGAGCACGGCCGUACUGACCCAAUGCUCCGGCGGUGUCUGAUACAACUCAAAAUAGGUGUGGCAGAGGUCAAACCAGAGGCGCGGGGCAUCACCACUGAACCGAGGGAAGUCAUGCUUCGGCGGCUUGUGACAAUAAUUGGGGCGCGGUUUUCUGUACUCCCUCCAUGGCUUGGAGCACGAACUUGGUCUGGGCCGACGGAGUCGACGACGGUGCCGUCGUGGCCACCCCAAAUCAAUCCUACCCCGCUCAGGAUUUUGCGUCGGAUCGCCGGAGCAACCCAACACCUUUCGCGGUGGAUUUUACGGCCAGAUCGAGGGAGUGAGGUGCGGCGGCGGCUCGUACGAGUCUUUGAUACCAAGUUGUCACGACCCUCGUCGGAUCGGACCAGAAGAGCUAGAGGGAGAUCGGGAAGAGAAAGGGGAUCGAGGUGGAUGAAGGACAGUCGCACCAGAGGUGCCUUGCUAUCCGCCGUCUCGCCUGUAGGUGCAGCAGGAGAGGGGGGCGUGACAGUUGAGUCCUCGGACACCAUCGAUAACGUCAAGGCCAAGAUCCAGGACAAGGAGGGCAUCCCUCCGGACCAGCAGCGUCUCAUCUUUGCUGGCAAGCAGCUUGAGGAUGGCUGCACCCUAGCUGACUACAACAUCCAGAAGGAGUCCACCCUUCACUUGACCAUCACCCUGGAGGUUGAGUCCUCGGACACGAUCGACAACGUCAAGGCCAAGAUCCAGGAUAAGGAGGGCGUUCCCCCAGACCAGCAGCGCCUCAUCUUCGCUGGCAAGCAGCUGGAGGACGGUCGCACCCUGGCUGACUACAACAUCCAGAAGGAGUCCACCCUCCACCUUCUUGAGGAUGGCCGCACCCUAGCAGACUACAACAUCCAGAAGGAGUCCACCCUUCACUUGGUGCUUCGUCUCCGUGGUGGCCAGUGA
This 1068-nucleotide ribosomal RNA is filed under the name Triticum aestivum (bread wheat). Its description in RNAcentral is "partial small subunit ribosomal RNA". The record is from RNAcentral. Lineage: Eukaryota; Viridiplantae; Streptophyta; Magnoliopsida; Poales; Poaceae.